This is a long non-coding RNA of Meleagris gallopavo (turkey), 1547 nucleotides long. The record is from Ensembl. Lineage: Eukaryota; Metazoa; Chordata; Aves; Galliformes; Phasianidae.
AUGUUAGAAAGAAGUUUUCUACUGUGAGAAUAGUUAAAUACUGGAAGAAGCUUUCCAGAGAGACUGCAAAGUCAUACAAAACCUGAAAACUUCCUGCAAAUGACCCUGCUCUGAGCAGAAGGUUGGAUUAGAUGAUUAGAUUCUGUGAUCUCCUGCCUUGGCUGUUCUGUGUGAGCCUGUGGUUUUUGUUCUUCUCAACAGAAGCAUUACAAUAGGCAUUGUCUGAAGGCACUAUCUGUGGUUAAAGCUGAGUGUUUUGUUUGUAAUAUUUCUUCUUCCUUGCAUGUUUCCAGAGGCUUAUUGUGUUAUUUUCCAAAUUUAAUCCUAGUGUAAAUGAGUCAAUUAUUUUCACGUCCUCUUUGCUCUACUUGAUUCUCAAAAUGAUUUCAUGAGCCUAUUAAUAAUUGUGCAAUACACAAAUUAAAGCUUUUCACACCCUGAACUUUGCCUGACAUAGCCCUUGGUUCUACUUUCAGUAGUGCACCCUUAAAACCUGUGGAUCGCACACAAUUUGGGGUUAGCUGUGCUUGCAAAAGAUGAGCUUGGAUCUCUCAAACACAACAGAGCUUCUUGGUUAAAGGUCAAGGUAGAUUCAGGAUAUUACUGUAUGUAUGUUUGUUAACCAUGGUACAGCUCUGAGUAAACAGCUUAUUCUUUAAGCUCCUGUCCUUGUGUGUUUCCAACAUUAGAGUCAUAUAAGGGCAUUGGGGUUGGUGCACCAAAUACUAAGCUAAUUCUGGUGGAGCAUCCUCAUGCCAUCUUGUGUACAAUUUUUAAACUGCAUCUUGAGUGUUGCUUUCGUACAUAACUCCAAAUUGAAUGAAAGAGAUGAGGGCUGACUUACUAAAAAGGAGGAGACUUCUGGGAGGAGUCCCGAGAGACAAGGGUGGAAAUACAGUUUUCUCUGGAGUAUGGCCAGAGAUUUUAUUUUGAAUAUCAUACUGUGCAAACUGUGACUUACAUGUGACAAGCGAAUAGUCAAGACCUAACUUAUAUUAAUGAUUUACUGCUGUCUCAUAAAGUAAAAAAAAAAAUAAAUAAAUAAAAAAAAAAUAAAAAAAAUUGUGUAUAUCUCAAAACAUGUUUAAGUCUUGCAAACAUGUGCAGCAUCCUCCCCAUCCUUGCUUUGUAUUGCUCCUUAUAACAUGUUCCAUACUCCAUCCAGUUUGUCAUUAAAUCAAGAAAAAUGCUCAUUCAGUGUACUGCAUUUAAACCAUCACCAAAGCAGACUUCUGUAAAACAGUCAACUUCUUACCGGAGGCUUGCUAACUGCUAGUUGGCUUUGGAUACUUCUUGAUUUUAUCCAGCCAUCUCAUGUUAUUUCAGAAGCUUAUCAACAGGAACUAGUUUUCACCCAGCUCUCAACUCGUAUGCAUUUCUGAACAGACUUACAUGUUAAAUUUAAAUGUUUCUAAUCUGAUAAUCUCUUCAUCAAACCUUAAUUUGCAAAACCUAGACACAAUAUGUCUGUCUCUGUGAGUUAAUCUUCUGUAUCUCCCUGUUAUCAUCUGUAUUUUCAGUGUAUGUUUUUGCUCUCUAAGGUACAG